GAUGAACGCUGGCGGCGUGCCUAAUACAUGCAAGUCGAGCGGACAGGCGAGGAGCUUGCUCCUCUGACGAUUGCGGCGGACGGGUGAGAAACACGUGGAAAACCUCCCUAUAAGAGUGGGAAAACCUCGGGAAACCGGCGCAAAUACCGGAUAAGAUAUUGAACCGCAGGGUUCAAUAGUGAAAGACGGUUUUUGUGUAUCUUAUAGAUGGAUCCGCGCCGCAUUAGCUAGUUGGUAAGGUAACGGCUUACCAAGGCGACGAUGCGUAGCCGACCUGAGAGGGUGAUCGGCCACACUGGAGCUGAGACACGGUCCAGACUCCUACGGGAGGCAGCAGUAGGGAAUCUUCCGCAAUGGGCGAAAGCCUGACGGAGCAACGCCGCGUGAGUGAUGAAGGUCUUCGGAUCGUAAAACUCUGUUAUUAGGGAAGAACAAAUGUGUAAGUAACUAUGCACGUCUUGACGGUACCUAAUCAGAAAGCCACGGCUAACUACGUG
RNAcentral lists this ribosomal RNA (497 nucleotides) under uncultured bacterium. Its description in RNAcentral is "partial 16S ribosomal RNA". It matches the Rfam family "Bacterial small subunit ribosomal RNA", at positions 28 to 507 of the family's 1533-position model. The record is from RNAcentral.